This 497-nucleotide ribosomal RNA is filed under the name uncultured bacterium. RNAcentral's name for it is "partial 16S ribosomal RNA". It matches the Rfam family "Bacterial small subunit ribosomal RNA", at positions 28 to 507 of the family's 1533-position model. The record is from RNAcentral.
GACGAACGCUGGCGGCGUGCCUAAUACAUGCAAGUUGAGCGCUUAAGGUUGGUACUUGUACCAACUGGAUGAGCAGCGCACGGGUGAGUAACGCGUGGGGAAUCUGCCUUUGAGCGGGGGACAACAUUUGGAAACGAAUGCUAAUACCGCAUAAAAACUUUAAACACAAGUUUUAAGUUUGAAAGAUGCAAUUGCAUCACUCAAAGAUGAUCCCGCGUUUUAUUAGCUAGUUGGUGAGGUAAAGGCUCACCAAGGCGAUGAUACAUAGCCGACCUGAGAGGGUGAUCGGCCACAUUGGGACUGAGACACGGCCCAAACUCCUACGGGAGGCAGCAGUAGGGAAUCUUCGGCAAUAGACGAAAGUCUGACCGAGCAACGCCGCGUGAGUGAAGAAGGUUUUCGGAUCGUAAAACUCUGUUGGUAGAGAAGAACGUUGGUGAGAGUGGAAAGCUCAUCAAGUGACGGUAACUACCCAGAAAGGGACGGCUAACUACGUG